UAAAGUGGUACGCGAGCUGGGUUUAGAACGUCGUGAGACAGUUCGGUCCCUAUCUGCCGUGGGCGCUGGAGAAUUGAGGGGGGCUACUCCUAGUACGAGAGGACCGGAGUGGACGCAUCACUGGUGUUCGGGUUGUCAUGCCAAUGGCACUGCCCGGUAGCUAAAUGCGGAAGAGAUAAGUGCUGAAAGCAUCUAAGCACGAAACUUGCCCCGAGAUGAGUUCUCCCUGACUCCUUGAGAGUCCUGAAGGAACGUUGAAGACGACGACGUUGAUAGGCCGGGUGUGUAAGCGCAGCGAUGCGUUGAGCUAACCGGUACUAAUGAACCGUGAGGCUUAACCUUACAACGCCGAAG
Molecule: ribosomal RNA, 354 nt
Filed under: Escherichia coli
Lineage: Bacteria; Pseudomonadati; Pseudomonadota; Gammaproteobacteria; Enterobacterales; Enterobacteriaceae
Description: partial 23S ribosomal RNA
Rfam family: Bacterial large subunit ribosomal RNA
Source: RNAcentral